RNAcentral lists this ribosomal RNA (253 nucleotides) under uncultured bacterium. RNAcentral describes it as "partial 16S ribosomal RNA". It matches the Rfam family "Bacterial small subunit ribosomal RNA", at positions 524 to 776 of the family's 1533-position model. The record is from RNAcentral.
UACGUAGGGUGCAAGCGUUAAUCGGAAUUACUGGGCGUAAAGCGUGCGCAGGCGGUUAUGUAAGACAGGUGUGAAAUCCCCGGGCUUAACCUGGGAACUGCAUUUGUGACUGCAUAGCUAGAGUACGGUAGAGGGGGAUGGAAUUCCGCGUGUAGCAGUGAAAUGCGUAGAUAUGCGGAGGAACACCGAUGGCGAAGGCAAUCCCCUGGACCUGUACUGACGCUCAUGCACGAAAGCGUGGGGAGCAAAUAGG